CCGUGAGGGAAAGAUGAAAAGGACUUUGAAAAGAGAGUUAAAAAGUACGUGAAACCGUUGAAAGGGAAGCGAAUGGAGUUAGCAAUUCGCCCUGCCAGAUUCAGUUGUUCGCGCUUCGCGACGUGCACGCUCUCGAUCCGCAUGGACGAGACGUGUACGGGUGCGACGUGCGGACGGCGCACUUCUGGCGGGCGAGCGUCAGCGUCGGUCGUCGACGGGCGAUAAGGUCGCGAGGAAGGUAGACGUGCCUUCGGGCGCGUUGUUAAGACUCGCGUUCGCAUAGCUCGACGACGACCGUGGCUCCUUCACACGGAGGCGACGCGUGCCUGGCUGGCGACUUGUGCGAUCGGUCCGGCAUGUCGACCGUGGCGGACGGCACGCCUGUGCGCUCGAACUGCUGCCGGUCGCUCGCACGAUGUUCGCACACUACGCGUCSAAGACGCUGACGACCAUACGGCUCCAUCCGACCCGUCUUGAAACACGGACCAAGGAGUCUAACAUGUGCGCAAGUCUCCGGGUGAUCGAAACCCGUGGGCGCAAUGAAAGUAAAGGCCGUCCUAGACGGCUGAGGUGAGAAGCGCGCUUCUUCUCGACGCGCGCCGCAUCAUCGACCGACCUAUUCUGCUCUCAGAAAGGUUUGAGUAAGAGCGUAUCUGUUGGGACCCGAAAGAUGGUGAACUAUGCCUGAAUAGGGUGAAGCCAGCGGAAACACUGGUGGAAGCUCGUAGCGAUUCUGACGUGCAAAUCGAUCGUCGAAUUUGGGUAUAGCGGCGAAAGACUAAUCGAACCAUCUAGUAGCUGGUUCCCUCCGAAGUUUCCCUCAGGAUAGCUGGAGUUCAUACAUGCAGUUUUAUCAGUAAAGCGAAUGAUUA
RNAcentral lists this ribosomal RNA (872 nucleotides) under Sclerophytum pocilloporaeforme. RNAcentral's name for it is "partial 28S ribosomal RNA". It matches the Rfam family "Eukaryotic large subunit ribosomal RNA", at positions 351 to 1023 of the family's 3401-position model. Lineage: Eukaryota; Metazoa; Cnidaria; Anthozoa; Malacalcyonacea; Sarcophytidae. The record is from RNAcentral.